This 951-nucleotide ribosomal RNA is filed under the name Triticum aestivum (bread wheat). RNAcentral describes it as "partial small subunit ribosomal RNA". The record is from RNAcentral. Lineage: Eukaryota; Viridiplantae; Streptophyta; Magnoliopsida; Poales; Poaceae.
AUGCAUGCAUUCUUCGCUUGCCGCCAGCGUUCACACGGAAUCAGCGGGCGCGUCAUCUCUCUCUCUCAAUCAGUAACGUUGAUCAAGGCGAAGCUCGAGGAGGCCAAUCCAUGGAUCGCGUCCAUCAACAGAUUGUCCCCCAAGGACGCGCUCUAUUCUGACGGGAAGACGCCGGCGAACCCAUGGAGGUUGUGCACGGUGCAGCAAGUGGGGGCGGUGAAGUGCCUGGCGCGCAUCAUCCCGGUGUGGUCAUCGGGGAUCGUCUACUUCGUGGUGCUCACCCAGCUUGGCACCUACGUCGUGCUCCAGGCAGCGCAGACCGACCGCCGGAUCAGCAACGCCAGCAGCUUCCAGAUCCCGCAGGGCUCCUUCAUCGUCUUCUCGAUGCUCUCCCUCACGCCCUGGAUACCCGUGUACGACCGGGUGGUGGUGCCGGCGCUCCGCCGCUUCACCAAGCACGAGGGCGGCAUCACCCUGCUCCAGCGCAUCGGCGUCGGCCUGGCGCUCUCCGUCGCGACGAUGCUGGUGUCGUGCUUCUGGCUGGUGCCGCAGCUGCUGCUGGCGGGCUUGUCCGAGGCGUUCGGCGGCAUCGGGCAGCUCGAGUUCUUCUACCGGCAGUUCCAGGAGAACAUGCGGAGCGUAGCCGGGGCGAUCUAUUGCCUGGGGUUCGCCCUGGCGAGCUACGCGAGCGGGGUCAUGGUGACGGUGGUGCACCGGGCGACGAGGGGGCGGGACGGGCGGCCGGACUGGCUGGCGCAGGACCUGGACCAGGGGAGAAUCGACCUGUUCUACCUCGUCACCGCCGCCAUCGCCGCCGUCAACCUCAUAUACUUCGUUGUCUGCGCGCGGUGGUACAGGUUCAAGGAGUCCAACGGCAACGACGACGGCUCCCACGCCAGCGCUGACGUCGAGCUCGUCCCAAAAAUGUCCGCGAGUGCGGCGCCCGUUUAG